Molecule: non-coding RNA, 1334 nt
Organism: Maylandia zebra (zebra mbuna)
Lineage: Eukaryota; Metazoa; Chordata; Actinopteri; Cichliformes; Cichlidae
Source: RefSeq, a predicted model, not a curated record
AAAAUGGUCUGUAAAUACAGCAUGUUUCCUAGCGGAGUUAUACAUAUCAAUGUAGUUAUAAAUUACAGUUUGUGAAAGUACACACUUAAUUUUUUUAAUAAAAUUAUUCAAGACAUAUGAGUGGACAGACAAUGGAGGUCGACAGACCUGGUGAUAAUUGCUUCUAUAGAAAGUUAGCACAUGGCAGUGUCAAUCUCUUGCUUUUCUUCUGAGUAGUAUUUUAUUUAGUUGUAAUUCAAACAAUAAUUUGCUUCUUGAAAUUAAGUAAUGAAUUUCUUGUUUUACUUUAUAAAUCUCAGAUCCUGCCUUUACCUGCUCCCUCCUCUACUGAUGUGGUGUAUGUGGUAUUGCUGAGCUUGUAUGUGGUGGAAGCAGAAUAUGUGAGGAUUACUACUGCUGCACAUGUUCCAAGGCUUUUUACACAACUUGACCAAUACACUGACCAGCUCAUAAAAGUCUUCAAGAAAAAAGGAGGCGUUGCAGGGAAGAAAAUUAGACAAACUUUGGCCCCAGCCACACAGAAGGAAAGUAUUGAAAAGGGGAGGGAGUGUGUCCUCAGGGCACUACCUUUUUACCUGAAUGAAGACCCAAGCAUCCUCUUCAAAGAAUAAUUGCUACAGCUGUUCAGAGGGAGCUGGAACAAAUUACCCUUGCUAUCUUUACCAUCGAAAGAGCUGAUGCCAGCACUCCUCCAGCCGAUGUGGGUAUAACCAUCUAGUGUGUCCUGCAUGACCUGGAAGACCUGGCCUCUGCAUGUGCACUCUUAAUGGGUGGGAUAUAUGCACUGAAUCUCAGUUAACCUCAAGACUGAAAGCUUUCUUUGAAGUACUUCAGAAGCUCUUCCUUCAUCUGUAUGUCAGCAUACUCUUGACCAAGGUACAGUUGCUCAAGAAUACACUGAAUGAAUAAGCCAACCUUUAAUUUGGAUGAUGAAUGUUCUGUCAGAUGGACAGAAGUUUUUCGGAGGCUGAAUGGGAAUAAAAUGGUAAUUUGUAAAUGACAGAUAACGGGAAAAUUACAUUUAAGAGAAAUUUAGAACAUUUUGAAAAGUUUGUAAACUACUACAAUUUGAGAGAUUUUACUGUUGUGGGGGGCUAGUAAGAGACAAUCAAAAGUAUUGAGAUUUAAAGGAUUUAAUUGAGAGAUGAUACUGCACCAGAAAUGUUGAAGGGUGGUGUGUAUAUUAGCGUUCAAGGCAUAUUGUUAUGAGGUGGAAAUAUGUUCAUAUUCAGUUUGUGUUACAUUGUGUGCAUUGUAAAGGUAAUUGCAAUACAUACUAAAAAUAAGGGUAAGUUAGGAGGUUGAUCUGAUAUCCUCGUGUUGGUGUUGUUCCC